UACGGGGGGAGCAAGCGUUGUUCGGAUUUACUGGGCGUAAAGGGCGCGUAGGCGGCCAGCACAAGUCAGUUGUGAAAUCUCCGAGCUUAACUCGGAAAGGUCAACUGAUACUGUGCGGCUAGAGUGCGGAAGGGGCAACUGGAAUUCUUGGUGUAGCGGUGAAAUGCGUAGAUAUCGAGAGGAACACCUGCGGCGAAGGCGGGUUGCUGGGCUGACACUGACGCUGAGGCGCGAAAGCCAGGGGAGCGAACGGG
RNAcentral lists this ribosomal RNA (254 nucleotides) under uncultured bacterium. Its description in RNAcentral is "partial 16S ribosomal RNA". It matches the Rfam family "Bacterial small subunit ribosomal RNA", at positions 524 to 776 of the family's 1533-position model. The record is from RNAcentral.